RNAcentral lists this ribosomal RNA (253 nucleotides) under uncultured bacterium. Its description in RNAcentral is "partial 16S ribosomal RNA". It matches the Rfam family "Bacterial small subunit ribosomal RNA", at positions 524 to 776 of the family's 1533-position model. The record is from RNAcentral.
UACGAAGGGGGCUAGCGUUGUUCGGAAUCACUGGGCGUAAAGCGCACGUAGGCGGAUUUUUAAGUCAGGGGUGAAAUCCCGGGGCUCAACCUCGGAACUGCCUUUGAUACUGGAGAUCUUGAGUCCGGGAGAGGUGAGUGGAAUUCCCAGUGUAGCGGUGAAAUGCGUAGAUAUCGUAAGGAAGACCAGUGGCGAAGGCGAGUCUCUGGACAGUUACUGACGCUGAGGCACGAAGGCCAGGGGAGCAAACGGG